Fictibacillus enclensis is the source of this 125-nucleotide regulatory RNA element. It matches the Rfam family "ylbH leader". From Rfam's summary of the family: This family is a putative regulatory RNA structure that is found upstream of the ylbH gene in B. subtilis and related low GC Gram-positive bacteria. The record is from Rfam. Lineage: Bacteria; Bacillati; Bacillota; Bacilli; Caryophanales; Fictibacillaceae.
AUAAAAAAAACCCCGCAGACGAUCUGCGGGGUGCCUUUAGGAUUAGUAAACAAUCACUAUCGUUAAGGCGAUGGGAGAGGAGAAACCGGAGGAAGAACUUAUGGGGAAGUAAGUCUUCUCCGCGG